This 399-nucleotide unclassified non-coding RNA is filed under the name soil metagenome. RNAcentral's name for it is "partial contains 5.8S ribosomal RNA, internal transcribed spacer 2, and large subunit ribosomal RNA". The stretch from base 1 to 122 matches the Rfam family "5.8S ribosomal RNA", at positions 35 to 154 of the family's 154-position model. The record is from RNAcentral.
GAUGAAGAACGCAGCGAAAUGCGAUACUUGGUGUGAAUUGCAGAAUCCCGUGAACCAUCGAGUCUUUGAACGCAAGUUGCGCCUCAAGCCAUUAGGUUGAGGGCACGUCUGCCUGGGCGUCACAUAUCGUUGCCUGAUGCCAGUUUCCUCGUGAUGGUGACUGUGCAGGGCGAAUGAUGGCUUCCCGUGAGCAUUGUUGCCUCAUGGUUGGUUGAAAAUUGAGUCCUUGGUAGGGAGCGCCGUGAUAGAUGGUGGUUGAGUGACGAACGAGACCCAAUCAUGUGAGACCCCUACCGAAUUUGGCCUUCAUGACCCACAUGCGUCUUUGGAACGCUCAUGACGAGACCUCAGGUCAGGCGGGGCUACCCGCUGAGUUUAAGCAUAUCAAUAAGCGGAGAA